This 204-nucleotide long non-coding RNA is filed under the name Struthio camelus australis. RNAcentral's name for it is "lncRNA (ENSSCUG00000014062.1)". The record is from RNAcentral. Lineage: Eukaryota; Metazoa; Chordata; Aves; Struthioniformes; Struthionidae.
UCAGAAGUAGAUCGAUUGUCAUUCCCAAGGAAAAGCUUGUGUGUGAAAUAAACUCUUUGCCAAAGCCGCUAGAUAUGCACUGAAGAAGUCUCUGCUGGACUGUUUCUGCUUUUGAAUAUAGAUUACUUUAAUACCCCUACAAAUUUCACAUGGGUUGCCAUGAGGAAAAGGCAUCAUGAUAAUCAUACCCAAAAGGAAAUGCAG